This 459-nucleotide ribosomal RNA is filed under the name uncultured bacterium. RNAcentral describes it as "partial 16S ribosomal RNA". It matches the Rfam family "Bacterial small subunit ribosomal RNA", at positions 338 to 795 of the family's 1533-position model. The record is from RNAcentral.
CCUACGGGAGGCAGCAGUGAGGAAUAUUGGUCAAUGGCCGAGAGUCUGAACCAGCCAAGUCGCGUGAGGGAAGAAUGUCCUAUGGAUUGUAAACCUCUUUUGUCAGGGAGCAAAGUCGUCCACGUGUCGGCGGUGGAGGGUACCUGAAGAAAAAGCAUCGGCUAACUCCGUGCCAGCAGCCGCGGUAAUACGCGGGAUGCGAGCGUUGUCCGGAUUUAUUGGGUUAAAGGGGUGGGCAGGGGGCAUGUUAAGUCAGCGGUAAAAGCCCGGGGCGAAACCCCGGCCCGCCGUUGAAACUGGCGGGCUGGAGUUGGAGAGAAGUAGGCGGAAUGCGCGGUGUAGCGGUGAAAUGCAUAGAUAUCGCGCAGAACUCCGAUUGCGAAGGCAGCAUGCCGGCUCCACACUGACGCUGAGGCACGAAAGCGUGGGUAGCGAACAGGAUUAGAUACCCUUGUAGUC